UCAGACGAUGCGUCAUGCAUAUCAAUAAGCGGAGGAAAAGAAACUAACAAGGAUUCCCCUAGUAACGGCGAGUGAAGCGGGAAGAGCUCAAAUUUGAAAUCUUAAAGGGUUUCCCUUUACGAAUUGUAGUUUAAAGAAGUGUUUUCUGUUGAGGUUUUGGUAAAAGUUCUUUGGAAUAGGACAUCAUAGAGGGUGAGAAUCCCGUAUUUGACCUUUACUUUCAACUUUGUGAUACACUUUCAAAGAGUCGGAUUGUUUGGGAAUGCAGUCCAAAAUGGGUGGUAAAUUUCAUCUAAAGCUAAAUAUUGGCGAGAGACCGAUAGCGAACAAGUACCGUGAGGGAAAGAUGAAAAGAACUUUGAAAAGAGAGUUAAACAGUACGUGAAAUUGUCAAAAGGGAAGCGUUUGACACCAGUGUUGUUUUUCUGAAAAUCAAUUAAAGAACUGUUUAUGCUAAGCUGUUUAGACUUUAUCAGCUAUCUGUUUAGUUUUAGGCUUUUCUUUAAUGCACUUUUCAGUUAACAAGUCAACAUCAAUUUCUUUUGCUGUAAAAAAGCUUGAGGAAGGUGGCUUGAGAUUCGUCUUAAGUGUUUAUAGCCUCUUGCCUAUGCAGUCGGAGAGAUUGAGGUCUGCAGCGUAGAUCCUUCGGGGCUAAAUGCAUUUGUGCUAAGUUAUAGCAUUUUAUAGACAACUUGUUGACUAUGAUUUGUCUUGUAGCUUACUCGCUUAUGUUAUUUUACCUACGCUUAGGAUGUUGACACACGCGCGUGCUCG
This 774-nucleotide ribosomal RNA is filed under the name uncultured Neocallimastigales. RNAcentral describes it as "partial large subunit ribosomal RNA". It matches the Rfam family "Eukaryotic large subunit ribosomal RNA", at positions 18 to 643 of the family's 3401-position model. Lineage: Eukaryota; Fungi; Neocallimastigomycota; Neocallimastigomycetes; Neocallimastigales. The record is from RNAcentral.